RNAcentral lists this transfer RNA (73 nucleotides) under SAR324 cluster bacterium. Its description in RNAcentral is "tRNA-Gly". It matches the Rfam family "tRNA". From Rfam's summary of the family: Transfer RNA (tRNA) molecules are approximately 80 nucleotides in length. Their secondary structure includes four short double-helical elements and three loops (D, anti-codon, and T loops). The record is from RNAcentral. Lineage: Bacteria; Deltaproteobacteria.
GCGAGUGUAGCUCAGUUGGUAGAGCAUCAGCCUUCCAAGCUGAAUGUCGCCGGUUCGAGCCCGGUCUCCCGCU